UGAGUGCGAGCUGCUACGGCAGCGAAGUUGGUGACGUCAUGCUUCCAAGAAAAGCCCUAUACCCGUUAAGGCAUCAUGGCCUGUACCCGAAACCGACACAGGUGGGGUGGUAGAGAAUACCGAGGGGCGCGAGGUAACUCUCUCUAAGGAACUCGGCAAAAUGGCCCCGUAACUUCGGGAGAAGGGGUGCCACCGCAAGGUGGUCGCAGUGAAGAGGCCCAGGCGACUGUUUACCAAAAACACAGGUCUCCGCUAAGUCGCAAGACGAUGUAUGGGGGCUGACGCCUGCCCAGUGCCGGAAGGUUAAGGAAGCUGGUCAGCGCAAGCGAAGCUAGCGACUGAAGCCCCGGUGAACGGCGGCCGUAACUAUAACGGUCCUAAGGUAGCGAAAUUCCUUGUCGGGUAAGUUCCGACCCGCACGAAAGGCGUAACGAUCUGGGCGCUGUCUCGGAGAGAGGCUCGGCGAAAUAGAAUUGUCUGUGAAGAUGCGGACUACGUGCACCCGGACAGAAAGACCCUAUGAAGCUUUACUGUAGCUUGGUAUUGUGCCCGGGCUCGCAAUGCGCAGGAUAGGUGGGAGACUUUGAUCAUCGGCUUGCGGGUCGAUGUGAGCCAACGGUGAGAUACCACUCUUUGCGAGCUAGGGUUCUAACGGCCACCCGUCAUCCGGGGGCCGGACAGUACCUGGUGGGCAGUUUGACUGGGGCGGUCGCCUCCUAAAAGGUAACGGAGGCGCGCAAAGGUUUGCUCAGGCUGGUUGGAAAUCAGCCGACGAGUGUAAAAGCAGAAGCAAGCUUGACUGUGAGACCAACAAGUCGAACAGGGAGGAAACUCGGCUUUAGUGAUCCGACGGUUCUGAGUGGAAGGGCCGUCGCUCAACGGAUAAAAGUUACUCUAGGAUAACAGGCUGAUCUCCCCCAAGAGUUCACAUCGACGGGGAGGUUUGGCACCUCGAUGUCGGCUCAUCGCAACCUGGGGCUGAAGUCGGUCCCAAGGGUUGGGCUGUUCGCCCAUUAAAGCGGUACGCGAGCUGGGUUCAGAACGUCGUGAGACAGUUCGGUCCAUAUCCGGUGCACGCGCAGGAAUAUUGAGAGGAUUUCUCCCUAGUACGAGAGGACCGGGAGGAACGCACCUCUGGUGUACCAGUUAUCGUGCCAACGGUAAACGCUGGGUAGCCAUGUGCGGAGUGGAUAACCGCUGAAAGCAUCUAAGUGGGAAGCCCACCUCAAGAUGAGUAUUCCCAUGGCGUAAGCCAGUAAGGUCACGGGAAGAACACCCGUUGAUAGGCUCUAUGUGGAAGCGCAGUAAUGCGUGAAGCAGAGGAGUACUAAUAGACCGAGGGCUUGAC
RNAcentral lists this ribosomal RNA (1348 nucleotides) under metagenome. Its description in RNAcentral is "bacterial LSU rRNA". It matches the Rfam family "Bacterial large subunit ribosomal RNA", at positions 1564 to 2925 of the family's 2925-position model. The record is from RNAcentral.